GACGAACGCUGGCGGCGUGCUUAACACAUGCAAGUCGAACGGAAAGGCCCUGCUUUUGUGGGGUGCUCGAGUGGCGAACGGGUGAGUAACACGUGAGUAACCUGCCCUUGACUUUGGGAUAACUUCAGGAAACUGGGGCUAAUACCGGAUAGGAGCUCCUGCUGCAUGGUGGGGGUUGGAAAGUUUCGGCGGUUGGGGAUGGACUCGCGGCUUAUCAGCUUGUUGGUGGGGUAGUGGCUUACCAAGGCUUUGACGGGUAGCCGGCCUGAGAGGGUGACCGGCCACAUUGGGACUGAGAUACGGCCCAGACCCCGACGGGAGGCAGAAGUGGGGAAGAUUGAACAAUGGGCGGAAGCCUGAUGCAGCAACGCCGCGUGCGGGAUGACGGCCUUCGGGUUGUAAACCGCUUUCGCCUGUGACGAAGCGUGAGUGACGGUAAUGGGUAAAGAAGCACCGGCUAACUACGUG
This 468-nucleotide ribosomal RNA is filed under the name uncultured bacterium. RNAcentral describes it as "partial 16S ribosomal RNA". It matches the Rfam family "Bacterial small subunit ribosomal RNA", at positions 28 to 507 of the family's 1533-position model. The record is from RNAcentral.